AGUAUAGUAGCAUUGAUACCUAAUACUAGUUAUACUAUUGGAGUGAGAGCAUAUACUAGUAUUAGACCAGGAGAUUGGACUCAUAGAGAACAUACUACAUCUCAAAUACCUGUCAUUCAAACCUUUUCUAUAACAAAGCUCAGUUCUACAGCAGUGGUAGCUAAGUGGGGUUCAGUUGCUGGAGCUAGUCAUUAUACUGUCUAUUAUGAGUCAACCAGUAG
Long non-coding RNA from Amphimedon queenslandica, 221 nucleotides. RefSeq lists it as uncharacterized. The transcript is spliced from 2 exons. The record is from RefSeq and is a predicted model, not a curated record. Lineage: Eukaryota; Metazoa; Porifera; Demospongiae; Haplosclerida; Niphatidae.